RNAcentral lists this long non-coding RNA (737 nucleotides) under Homo sapiens (human). Its description in RNAcentral is "non-protein coding lnc-ZNF627-2:2". Lineage: Eukaryota; Metazoa; Chordata; Mammalia; Primates; Hominidae. The record is from RNAcentral.
UGCAGAAUCAAUUUUUACUUCAGAAGAUUGAGACAUCAGAUGGGAGAAAGGCUUGACUAUGUCGCCAGCAGCCUCAUGCCAAAUUCCUGAUUCCUGGAGGACAGAGCCCCCCUCCUGCUCCAAGGCCAGGAGAUGGCGCCACUGGACAGUGAGUCUGGGAUUCCUAGCACACACUUGUGAUUGCUGGUCCAGGAAAAAGAAGCAGGAAGGGCCAUUAGUACAAUCAGUCAGGAAAUUCUGCUUAAGUGCACAUUUCUCCCCAGGAGAGUCGGGUCACUGCACUGGGAGGAAGCCCGCCUGCCAAGGGCUGUGUCUGGAACCUGUUCAUCGCGCUCCACUCAGCACAGUGAGAUCGCCUCUUCUGUUACUCGGUCUCCAGGGGGCGGGACCUGGAGCCGUAUCCAAUCAGGGCCAUGGGGUGGGGUCGUGAGAACUGUGGAUCAGGCGCACUGCAGGGAGGUGGGUGCGCGGCAUCUUCACCCCUCUAAAUGCGGCUCCUACUCUGUAGCUGACAGACACCCACAGACGUGUCUGUAGCAUCCUCUGUCACACUGGGACCCGUACUGGCAGCAGGAGCCGUAGGGAGGACUGGGACACCUGGAAGCCAGGAAUUGGUGAGUGUGCGGGGCUGAGGGUCCCGAGACUAGGAUGGGACUGGUUGGAACCGGCAGGAAUAGACCGUGGCGGGACCCGGGCCUCUUCGUAGUUGACUCUGGGUUCUGAGACCCAAGUCCCCC